RNAcentral lists this microRNA (22 nucleotides) under Populus trichocarpa (black cottonwood). RNAcentral describes it as "ptc-miR477c". Its record names the gene ptc-miR477c. Lineage: Eukaryota; Viridiplantae; Streptophyta; Magnoliopsida; Malpighiales; Salicaceae. The record is from miRBase by way of RNAcentral.
GGAAACCUUUUGUGGGGGUUUG